Molecule: ribosomal RNA, 432 nt
Filed under: uncultured Agrobacterium sp.
Lineage: Bacteria; Pseudomonadati; Pseudomonadota; Alphaproteobacteria; Hyphomicrobiales; Rhizobiaceae
Description: bacterial SSU rRNA
Rfam family: Bacterial small subunit ribosomal RNA
Source: RNAcentral
UCUAGAGAUUUGGCGGACGGGUGAGUAACGCGUGGGAACAUACCCUUUCCUGCGGAAUAGCUCCGGGAAACCGGAAUUAAUACCGCAUACGCCCUACGGGGGAAAGAUUUAUCGGGGAAGGAUUGGCCCGCGUUGGAUUAGCUAGUUGGUGGGGUAAAGGCCUACCAAGGCGACGAUCCAUAGCUGGUCUGAGAGGAUGAUCAGCCACAUUGGGACUGAGACACGGCCCAAACUCCUACGGGAGGCAGCAGUGGGGAAUAUUGGACAAUGGGCGCAAGCCUGAUCCAGCCAUGCCGCGUGAGUGAUGAAGGCCUUAGGGUUGUAAAGCUCUUUCACCGGAGAAGAUAAUGACGGUAUCCGAAGAAGAAGCCCCGGCUAACUUCGUGCCAGCAGCCGCGGUAAUACCCAGCAGCCGCGGUAAUAAUCGUCGAC